AUCGAACGCUGGCGGCAGGCCUAACACAUGCAAGUCGAGCGAGCGGCGGACGGGUGAGUAACGCAUGGGGACUGCCCGAUCGAGGGGGAUAACCACUGGAAACGGUCGCUAAUUCCGCAUUCUAUCGGUUAACCCAUAUGGGAUUAGCUAGUAGGUGGGGUAAAGGCUCACCUAGGCGACGACCACCCGCUGGUCGGAGAGUAGGAACGGAAACACGGGGACUGAGACACGGCCCAGACACCUACGGAGGCAGCAGUGGGGAAUAUGGCAAAAGGGGCGAAAGCCUGAUGAGGCAAUGCCGCGUGUAGGAAGAAGGCCUUAGGGUUGUAAAGUACUUUCAGCGGGGAGGCGUUACCCGCAGAAGAAGCACCGGCUAACUCCGUGCCAGCAGCCGCGGUAAUAC
RNAcentral lists this ribosomal RNA (403 nucleotides) under uncultured bacterium. Its description in RNAcentral is "partial 16S ribosomal RNA". It matches the Rfam family "Bacterial small subunit ribosomal RNA", at positions 29 to 526 of the family's 1533-position model. The record is from RNAcentral.